RNAcentral lists this ribosomal RNA (376 nucleotides) under uncultured bacterium. RNAcentral describes it as "bacterial SSU rRNA". It matches the Rfam family "Bacterial small subunit ribosomal RNA", at positions 138 to 509 of the family's 1533-position model. The record is from RNAcentral.
GGGGGAUAACGUUCGGACACGGACGCUAAUACCGCAUACGUCCUACGGGAGAAAGCAGGGGACCUUCGGGCCUUGCGCUAUCAGAUGAACCUAGGUCGGAUUAACUAGUUGGUGGGGUAAUGGCUCACCAAGGCGACGAUCCGUAACUGGUCUGAGAGGAUGAUCAGUCACACUGGAACUGAGACACGGUCCAGACUCCUACGGGAGGCAGCAGUGGGGAAUAUUGGACAAUGGGCGAAAGCCUGAUCCAGCCAUGCCGCGUGUGUGAAGAAGGUCUUCGGAUUGUAAAGCACUUUAAGUUGGGAGGAAGGGUUGUAGAUUAAUACUCUGCAAUUUUGACGUUACCGACAGAAUAAGCACCGGCUAACUCUGUGCC